RNAcentral lists this ribosomal RNA (468 nucleotides) under uncultured bacterium. RNAcentral's name for it is "partial 16S ribosomal RNA". It matches the Rfam family "Bacterial small subunit ribosomal RNA", at positions 28 to 507 of the family's 1533-position model. The record is from RNAcentral.
GACGAACGCUGGCGGCGUGCUUAACACAUGCAAGUCGAACGGAAAGGCCCUGCUUUUGUGGGGUGCUCGAGUGGCGAACGGGUGAGUAACACGUGAGUAACCUGCCCUUGACUUUGGGAUAACUUCAGGAAACUGGGGCUAAUACCGGAUAGGAGCUCCUGCUGCAUGGUGGGGGGUGGAAAGUUUCGGCGGUUGGGGAUGGACUCGCGGCUUAUCAGCUUGUUGGUGGGGUAGUGGCUUACCAAGGCAUUGACGGGUAGCCGGCCUGAGAGGGUGACCGGCCACCUUGGGACUGAGAUACGGCCCAGACUCCUACGGGAGGCAGCAGUGGGGAAUAUUGCACAAUGGGCGGAAGCCUGAUGCAGCAACGCCGCGUGCGGGAUGACGGCCUUCGGGUUGUAAACCGCUUUCGCCUGUGACGAAGCGUGAGUGACGGUAAUGGGUAAAGAAGCACCGGCUAACUACGUG